GGACAUACCUCUGGUGUACCAGUUGUUUUGCCAAAAGCAUCGCUGGGUAGCUAUGUAUGGAACGGAUAACCGCUGAAAGCAUCUAAGUGGGAAACCGACCUCAAAACUAGAUAUCUCCAUUAGAGUCGUGGUAGACCACCACGUUGAUAGGCAGAGUGUGUAAGCACAGCAAUGUGUUUAGCUAAUCUGUACUAAUAACUCGAUUGACUUAUAUGU
This 216-nucleotide ribosomal RNA is filed under the name Alphaproteobacteria bacterium. RNAcentral's name for it is "partial 23S ribosomal RNA". It matches the Rfam family "Bacterial large subunit ribosomal RNA", at positions 2699 to 2925 of the family's 2925-position model. Lineage: Bacteria; Pseudomonadati; Pseudomonadota; Alphaproteobacteria. The record is from RNAcentral.